RNAcentral lists this ribosomal RNA (497 nucleotides) under uncultured bacterium. RNAcentral describes it as "partial 16S ribosomal RNA". It matches the Rfam family "Bacterial small subunit ribosomal RNA", at positions 28 to 507 of the family's 1533-position model. The record is from RNAcentral.
GACGAACGCUGGCGGCGUGCCUAAUACAUGCAAGUUGAGCGCUGAAGGUUGGUACUUGUACCAACUGGAUGAGCAGCGAACGGGUGAGUAACGCGUGGGGAAUCUGCCUUUGAGCGGGGGACAACAUUUGGAAACGAAUGCUAAUACCGCAUAAAAACUUUAAACACAAGUUUUAAGUUUGAAAGAUGCAAUUGCAUCACUCAAAGAUGAUCCCACGUUGUAUUAGCUAGUUGGUGAGGUAAAGGCUCACCAAGGCGAUGAUACAUAGCCGACCUGAGAGGGUGAUCGGCCACAUUGGGACUGAGACACGGCCCAAACUCCUACGGGAGGCAGCAGUAGGGAAUCUUCGGCAAUGGACGAAAGUCUGACCGAGCAACGCCGCGUGAGUGAAGAAGGUUUUCGGAUCGUAAAACUCUGUUGGUAGAGAAGAACGUUGGUGAGAGUGGAAAGCUCAUCAAGUGACGGUAACUACCCAGAAAGGGACGGCUAACUACGUG